ACCAGUGAUUGAGCACCUGGUGGGAAGGCAGGGCCAGUCCAGAGUUCAGGUGCAUGCAAUUCUCCUGAGUGAUGGAAGGGGUGCAGCCAGGAUCCACCCCUUCGCAGACCUCAUUUAAGGGUUGGCAGUGCAGGUAAGGGUAUCUUGCUGGAGAUCCUUGUGUACCUGAGGCCUUCUAAGGGAUUGAAAGCUCUAUUGCAUAUUUCUCUGGGCUGUGAGUAACCCUGAACGCAAAAGAGCCAGGAAUAACUCCUUUGCUUCGCUGUCAGGCUUGAUGCUGUCACUACUUUUAUCUUGUUGGUAACAAGGGCGACAGAAAGAACUGAGCUGGGCAACUGGUGGCAGGGAGAGAAGCAGCAUCUGAAAGGCUCUCGUGACUCAGGUGUGUCCAGCAGCAUGUGCCACGGGUCCCUGCUGUCUCCGGGCAGAGACUGCUCCUCCUGCCCAGCAGUGCCACUGCUCAGUGCUUCAGCAGAAAUGAGCUCUUCAGUGCCCAAAGCUGCUGUGGGCAGGAUGGAAGUGCCUUACUGCACUCUUAUCCUUAAAGGUUGCAGGCACUCGUGUCAGUUAAGCACUCACAAUGAGCUGCUAUAUGUGCCCAGGGCUACCACUAUCUCAAAGGGCAUCUCCAAGCUGUAGUUGUAUGUAACAUAAAAAGCUUUGUGUCUGUAACCUCUACAGCAUGAGAUGUUAUGUUCACUCCCACUUUUCAAGGAGAGUAUCCUGCUCACCAGGCUGUCCCUGACUAACUGCCCCUUUAGCAUCUUGGUUACUGCAUAGAUCUUGGCUGGGUGCUGCAGCCAAUGGCAUAAGAAUGUGGACUCCUACUUCACGCACUGAAACAAAGGGAAGAACUAAUUAAUUGCAGUGGAAAAAAAAGUUUUUUUUUGCCUGUGUAAUCUUUCAUAAAGAUGAGCUCCCACACACUUAUGAAAGCAUCUGCACAACACUGAACUUAACCUUUGUACCUUCACCUUGAAAAAGGAAUGAAUGUAAUUCAUACUUAUUGAACAAUUCCAAUCCUCAUUUACUUAUCCCACAAAUGAGAUCUUACUGAAUGCUUACAGAAAGACUUACAGAAGAAGUAAAGCAGAACAAAAGUUCCUUUUGUAGCUUAACUAUAUUAACUUGAAAAGUGUCUUGCUUUGCGAAAGAGAAGAAAUUUUCUGCUAAUACCAUUUGCAGAGAACUGAAACCUCUCCCUUCUCUCAGAAGGCUCUGUCAGUCCAGAUGGGAGUUGUCCCCAUUCUGCUGCACUGAGGCUGAUAUUCAGCAGAAAACACAGAUCAGUGAGGCUCUCCUUUCUAUUAGAAAAGUGUUCAGAAAGAGCUGAUGAAAACAGCUUUCCCUACUUGUGCUGUAACCUUGUUUUCCCUCUAAAUAUCUCUGUAAACCACCACUUCAGCUGAAGCCUUCAUUUUAGCUUCUGUAAUACAGACAAGCCUUUGGGAACUAAUCUUUCCUGGAAAAUGAAGUCAGUACAUCAAGUCAGCUGUUAAUUUUGCAAAGGUGCUGUCUCAGAUAAGGGUGUGCAUGAGCUACACGUUUCACUUAUUUAUCUACCACAUUCUAUACAGCCUAGCUCCAAAGUAUUUGGAGUACUCUUAGCUCAUCAACUGGAAAACUGAUAUAUGAAAGCAAGAUUAAUUUUUAUUAGCUUGAAGUAUCAUUUUAUUCAACUGAUAAGUAUCAAUACAUUAUGCAUCUGCCAGUUAUAGUCCAUUUUAAUUGGUUCCAAAACCUAAGCAGUAGAUGGGAAGACAAUUUGUCUAGUUAAUCUGAAAACAAUAUUCCACACAAUCAGUACUGGAGUUGUCAACCGUAUAGUAAUUCCAGCAUUAAGUUAUGGCUUUGCAGAAAGUCAUGAAGUUAAAUUAGAACACAUCAAGAGCCAUUUUCCAAAGAUUUAUUGAAGUAGCGACAGGUUGCUCAUACUGUGCUGGAAAAAGCAGUUUUAUUAAAUUCAGAUACUUAAAAACAGUAUUGCAGCACAAGAUAUUGCUAUUUGUAAACUAGACUCCAUUGUAAACUCUAAUCCUUCAGGGAGAGUCAGUUUGCAAGAUCUAAGACCUAUUUCCUAGCAUAAUAAUCUUGCGCUCAUGGAAAAACUG
Long non-coding RNA from Gallus gallus (chicken), 2111 nucleotides. RefSeq lists it as uncharacterized. The record is from RefSeq and is a predicted model, not a curated record. The transcript has 2 exons. NCBI's taxonomy places the organism in Eukaryota, Metazoa, Chordata, Aves, Galliformes, Phasianidae.